GUUGGGUGGAGGGGCUUAUAAAGAAGUGUACAUAGGGUAUGAUCGUGUUGAGCAAAUUGAAAUUGCUUGGAACCAAAUUGUAGUAGAGGAAGCAUUGGAAAACCCUGAGAAUUUGUUCGCUGAGGGUAUUUUGUUGAAAUCGUUGAACCAUGAAAGGAUUAUGAAGUGUUUCUGUUAUUGGUUCGAUCCCAAGUCCAAAACUCUUAACAUGAUUACAGAGUUAUUCCCUUCGGGUAGCUUGAAGAAGUAUCUCGCGAAGUCUGAUGGUAAUGAUAAUGGUGUUGGUGCU
RNAcentral lists this unclassified non-coding RNA (289 nucleotides) under Hevea brasiliensis (rubber tree). Lineage: Eukaryota; Viridiplantae; Streptophyta; Magnoliopsida; Malpighiales; Euphorbiaceae. The record is from RNAcentral.